UACGUAGGGGGCAAGCGUUGUCCGGAAUCAUUGGGCGUAAAGCGCGUGUAGGCGGCUAGAUAAGUCUGCUCUGAAAGCCCGGGGCUCAACCCCGGGAGGCGGGUGGAUACUGUCUAGCUCGGAGUCCGGAAGAGGAGUGUGGAAUUCCGUGGUGUAGCGGUGAAAUGCGCAGAUAUCAGGAGGAACACCGGUGGCGAAGGCGCCACUCUGGGCCGGUACUGACGCUGAGGAGCGGAAAGCGUGGGGAGCAAACAGG
This 256-nucleotide ribosomal RNA is filed under the name uncultured bacterium. RNAcentral's name for it is "partial 16S ribosomal RNA". It matches the Rfam family "Bacterial small subunit ribosomal RNA", at positions 524 to 776 of the family's 1533-position model. The record is from RNAcentral.